Molecule: long non-coding RNA, 2356 nt
Organism: Bombus terrestris (buff-tailed bumblebee)
Lineage: Eukaryota; Metazoa; Arthropoda; Insecta; Hymenoptera; Apidae
Exons: 5
Source: RefSeq, a predicted model, not a curated record
UUUGUUAUAUAUUCAUUAUAUAACUGAUGACCGCCGUCACGUGAACGGAGAAACUUUUGCUCGAUUAGCAGUAAUCGAUAUUGCAUCGAACGUAUUAAAUUAUUUAUCAUCGUUAUUUAAGAAAAAUAAUACAUGUUGUGCAAAAAUUCAUACAUAAUUUUUUUUAAAUUGCGCUCAAUUAAAAGUAACGAUACUUUUACUAUAAUUUAUAAUAAUUCGCACGAUUUCUGGAUAAUUUAUAAACGUUGGUAACAUUUUUUUAGUAAAAUGAAGCUAAUUAUAUAGAAUAAAUCAAAUAUCUUUUAUUCCUAUGUUUUUUGCCGAAAAUUGUGUACUAUAAAUUCUUCAUACCACAUAGGAGAUAAGCCAUAUUGAAGACAAAAAUAAUGGCAACAGAUAAAGACGAACCACCAAAGCGUUUUAAGACGCGAUAUGUAACAUACAUCGCUGCUGCUGAGUGAAGUAUAUUGAGCCCUAUGAAAUAACGGAUCGAAGGCGAAUCGACGUUUCUAGAACUCGCUGCUUGACGGCAAAUAUGAGCUUGUCGCUACAUUGUAUAUAUUCGCCGGUCCUAUAAGACGAUCUCUAUUGCCACAUUGUAGUACCACGAGCGACGGUGAAAGACACGGCCUAUGCGAAGAUGAAGAAAAGCGGUCCUCCAACGGCUCCGUGUUCGGUCACACGGCAUGUUCGCUCGUUAUCAAGGAAAAGCAACAGACAAACGACAACAUAAUUUAGGGAGGAAUCGACAAUCGGAGUGGAUUGGUUAUAAUCUUACAAUCAGCAGCGUUUCUGUACCAUGGGAAUGGUAUAGGAUGGUGGGGUAGCGUUUGUCUUCUGGCAGACAAUGCUAUAAAACACAUUUUAUUAUUAAGAUUUCAAGAACAUGGAAUUAAAAAAAUUAUUUAAUAUAAAAUAGCGACUUUUUGUGUAAAAAUAUUGUCACCUGCAAUUUUCCCCGACUUUACGUGUUUUGAAGGCUAAUUGAAUUGGUCAAUUAUAAUUUCAAGGUAACCAAUAGACGUGAGCGUUCACCUCCUUCUUCCAUCAAUUCUUUCUCAUCCAAUGAAUUUGCAAACAUUCCAAACUGUGUGCUACCCCCAUCCUUAUCUCGGAACUUCUAACGAAUCUUGGGAAAACCAAAUUUUACGCAGAUUUACUCGCCUGUCGACUACCGUAGAAAACCGAACAUGGUGUAUUAUCCCGUAAACGCCUCAGUCUUAAUUUUCCAAUUUAAUCUUAUAGUUCUUCUUAUAAUUUUCUAUGGAUGUACGUAUCUCUAUAUCAUUAUCGAACUUGCUAUAUUUGUGCGACGUCGUAUUCCCAGAUACCUGCGUUUUCUUGUGUAGUUUACUUCAGGAAUUUAUGUGAUAAACUUGCAGAGAUUGGUUCGGUGAGAAAAUAUUUACGUCUAUAGUAACAACAGUCGACACCGAGUAUAUCAUCUGUAUCACUUUCCGAAAGAAAACAAUCCUCUUUAUAAAGAAUGAAUUUGAAAAGUUGGUAAUCACUACUUAAAAUAUUAUGCCAGCGCCAUUUUAAGAAGCAUGAAUGUCCAUGUCCAUAUAAAUCAUAUAAACCAUAUAAAAAUAUGAAGAGAUGAAGAAGCAUAAUGUAUCCGAACAACCAACAUUUUUAUUACAAAAUAAAAGGAAAAGGGAAGAUGUACAAGAAAGACAGCACGUUAUCGAAAAACAGUUGAUCAGAAAAGGAGGGCAAGAGCAAGAAGAACGACAUCAAUGCAGCUACUACCACUACCAAUAGUAGCAGAAAGUGGUUGAAGGAGGGAUAAAAUAAGAAGAUCAAGGUCAAAAUAUAUGCUCAAGUUCGGAAAAGAAAAAGUUGCAAAAAGAUGGACUAAGAGACAGAAACUGAAAAAUAUACUGCAGCAAAGCAAUCACUAUGAAGUCAGCCCACGAAACAAUCGUUUUUCGAAUUCCAUAAUUUCUGAAGAAUCGAUUCCUUCAAUGAUUCUAGGAGCAUUCAAACAAUAGCUCUUCGUUACAGCCGAGAAAGAUCCGCGGUCGAAAAGACAUCAAAAAAAAAAAAAGGCACAGGACUUAAACGUCAAUAGAAAAGGCGAAGUGCUCUUGGAAUUUCUUCUGAGGCAAAAAUCUAAACUUAUAUAAUACAAGCUUUGACUGAAACGGUUUGCAUGGUUUCCCUUUAUAGAAUGGUCUAUUGGUAUAGAGAUAUACAUUCAUAUUAGAUAUGUCCAAUAUUUGUAAAUGUAUUAUUUAUUAUCUUUGUUUUUGUCACUAAAUUAUUAUAUUGACAUUUUGAACUAUUUUUAUCUCUACUUUGUAUGUAUCGUGGUCCAAGAAUAUAGGAAAUCAUGAAUUUUUUUCCAAGGCAA